RNAcentral lists this ribosomal RNA (478 nucleotides) under uncultured Saprospiraceae bacterium. RNAcentral describes it as "bacterial SSU rRNA". It matches the Rfam family "Bacterial small subunit ribosomal RNA", at positions 28 to 505 of the family's 1533-position model. The record is from RNAcentral. Lineage: Bacteria; Pseudomonadati; Bacteroidota; Saprospiria; Saprospirales; Saprospiraceae.
GAUGAACGCUAGCAGGAGGCUUAAUACAUGCAAGUCGAGGGGUAACGAUGGUGCUUGCACCAGGCGACGACCGGCGAACGGGUGAGUAACGCGUACAUAACCUGCCUACAAGAGGGAGAUAGCCCCGGGAAACUGGGAUUAAUAUCCCAUAAUAUUAUAAUAAUUAAUUUAUAAUUAAAGCUCCGGCGCUUGUAGAUGGAUGUGCGUCCCAUUAGCUAGUUGGUAAGGUAGAGGCUUACCAAGGCGACGAUGGGUAGGGGGCGUGAGAGCGUGAUCCCCCACACGGGUACUGAGACACGGACCCGACUCCUACGGGAGGCAGCAGUAAGGAAUAUUGGACAAUGGGCGCAAGCCUGAUCCAGCCAUCCUGCGUGUAGGAUGACUGCCCUAUGGGUUGUAAACUACUUUUAUAAGAGAAGAAAAAUCUGGAUUCAUCUGGACUUGACGGUAUCUUAUGAAUAAGCACCGGCUAACUCCG